GACGAACGCUGGCGGCGUGCUUAACACAUGCAAGUCGAACGGAAAGGCCCUGCUUGCAGGGUACUCGAGUGGCGAACGGGUGAGUAACACGUGGGUGAUCUGCCCUUCACUUCGGGAUAAGCUUGGGAAACUGGGUCUAAUACCGGAUAGGACCGCACUUUAGUGUGUGUGGUGGAAAGUUUUUUCGGUGUAGGAUGAGCUCGCGGCCUAUCAGCUUGUUGGUGGGGUAAUGGCCUACCAAGGCGGCGACGGGUAGCCGGCCUGAGAGGGUGUACGGCCACAUUGGGACUGAGAUACGGCCCAGACUCCUACGGGAGGCAGCAGUGGGGAAUAUUGCACAAUGGGCGCAAGCCUGAUGCAGCGACGCCGCGUGGGGGAUGAAGGCCUUCGGGUUGUAAACUCCGUUCGCUAGGGACGAAGCUUUUUGUGACGGUACCUAGAUAAGAAGCACCGGCUAACUACGUG
This 465-nucleotide ribosomal RNA is filed under the name uncultured bacterium. RNAcentral describes it as "partial 16S ribosomal RNA". It matches the Rfam family "Bacterial small subunit ribosomal RNA", at positions 28 to 507 of the family's 1533-position model. The record is from RNAcentral.